ACCUAGGGGGGUGGGGGAUGAACCCCUUUAUGUAUAUAUAUGUGUGUAUGUAUAGGUAUAUGUGAGAGGCAAGAGGAGAAAGUGGUCCGGCUACCCCGGCUGUGGGUGGCCGGUUGUGCCGAGCCGAGCCCCAGGGGGCACUACAAGAAACAUAGGUCAAUACCGGCGACAUCUUUAGGGGCGACUUCGAAAUUGUCGCCACUAAAAGCCUAUCCGUGUCCAACUUUUGAGAAUUACUCCCUGACCAUUGAUCUGAAAGCAAUCCGACGGCCCAGCUUUUAUCAUCCCUUAAAGGUGAAUAAAACCUUUAGCGGGCAACCAUUCUCCCAUUUCCCCCCCCCCCCCAAAUCGUUCACCUGCCUCCCCCAACCCUACGACGCCACCACCACUAGAACAAUCUGCAGUUAACCGGCCACCACCACCCUCCGGAUACAGCUCGCCAACACCAGAACCUGCAGUCACCUCCUCGCUGCUCCACAGCCGCCGCUGCACCUGCAGGAUUGUUUCAUUUUUCUCUUUUUUACGGUGUGGAUUGUGUGCAGUUGUAGGUAUACGGUGGUUGCCUUGAGGUAGCACCGUCAUAUAUUUGGUUGCAAUGUUUCUGGUGAUUCCACUAUUUAAGAUAGCAGAACUAGUUGACUUGUAUUUUUCCGUCCCAUGUGGCCUUGCAAGGUGGAGGCUGAGGUGGUGGUCGAGUGAGGUGAGGGAUUACGUCGCUUAACCUGGUUACAUGGCUUGACACUUGAGCUUUAAUGGUUGACAUGGAUCUGCCAUCUUAAAAAGUCGAACUAUUUAACCUGGUUACAUGGCUUGACAAUUGAGCUUUAAUGCUUUCGUCUUUUCAAUUCGUCAUCCAUAUACUUUUGUCAAUACUUUUUGUGUAUAAGCUGAACAUGGGAGUCUCGGGUGCCAUGAUUGCACUCUCGAUUUCUUCGUGGUUUCUUAUGAUCGGAGAAUUUAUAUACAUUUUUGGAGGAUGGUGUCCAGAUUCUUGGAAAGGAUUCACAGUUGCUGCUUUUAAGGAUCUUGUUCCUAUCAUAAAGCUCUCAAUAUCCUCUGCUUGGAGCUAUGGACCUAUGGUACUAUGCUGUUCUGAUCUUACUUGCUGGAUACAUGCCAAACACUGAGGUAGCAAUAUCGGCAUUCUCCAUUUGUGUCCGGGUGGCGAAUGAGUUAGGGCGAGGAAACGCGAAAGCAGUGAAGUUUUAUCACCGGCAGUUGGUCACGGAAUGUUCCAACAGAUGACAGAGGAGGUCUGUGAGCAGUGUCCUAAUGUAAAAUAUGUAAGGGAAGGGCCGAAGGGGACUUUAUAACUGUGGAUAUAGAGAAAGGAAUGCAAGAUGCGGAGGAAGUGGUCUUUUAUGAGGAAGGGUGAACCAAUUAUAGAUGGUGAACCUGGAGAUUUGAGGGUUAGUUUGUCAUUAUUGAUGGCUUAAUUAUAGUCAUGCAGUUCCGCAUUCGUAUAGCGCCACACGACAGGUUUAGGAGAGAAGGUACUUACACGACAACGGCAACUCUAAAAUGGGCUUUAGCUUUUCUAGUCAACCACCCUGUGGUCUUAAAAAUAGCCCAACAGGAGCUUGAAAACCAUGAUGGAAGAGAUAGGAAAGUUGAAGAGUCAGACAUGAACAACUUGGUCUAUCUUCAAGCCAUUAUCAAAGAGACAAUGCGUCUUUAUCGAGCUGCACCACUUUCUGUUCCACAUGAAUCCACAGAAGACUGCAUUGUAGGAGAAGACACGCAAAGAGGAGAUUGUGGUUGUAUUCCAUGGUGGAGCUUUGGUAGCUCUUGUUGAAGCUGCACGCGAUGCAGGAUACGAUGAAGCUUUGGUAGCUCAUUUGGCUUUAAAACCUAGCAAGGCAUGUAUCCGUUAUAUCCCGUUAUUCCUUUUUGUGCUCAACAACACGCGGGUUGAAAGCACUAGUUACUACUGUUUUAAUAUGGUGAUAUAAACAAACCGCUAUGUAAUUUUUGGCGACAUAUGUACAUAGCAGUAAAUUAUUUUUUUUAGGAAAAACCUCAAAAAAAAAUGUGCAUGUAAUUAUAUGUAGGUAACAAUGUAAAUAGCAGUAAAUUAUUUUUUUUU
Molecule: long non-coding RNA, 2086 nt
Organism: Helianthus annuus (common sunflower)
Lineage: Eukaryota; Viridiplantae; Streptophyta; Magnoliopsida; Asterales; Asteraceae
Exons: 9
Source: RefSeq, a predicted model, not a curated record